RNAcentral lists this non-coding RNA (48 nucleotides) under Schistosoma mattheei. The record is from RNAcentral. Lineage: Eukaryota; Metazoa; Platyhelminthes; Trematoda; Strigeidida; Schistosomatidae.
AUCCAGCUGACGAGUCUUGGACAGGACGAAACACGCGUCAAACUGGAU